UAACACAUGCAAGUCGAGGGGCAGCAUUUUAGUUCGCUUGCAAAUUAAAGAUGGCGACCGGCGCACGGGUGAGUAACACGUAUCCAACCUGCCGAUAACUCGGGGAUAGCCUUUCGAAAGAAAGAUUAAUAUCCGAUAGUAUAUUAAAACCGCAUGGUUUUACUAUUAAAGAAUUUCGGUUAUCGAUGGGGAUGCGUUCCAUUAGUUUGUUGGCGGGGUAACGGCCCACCAAGACUACGAUGGAUAGGGGUUCUGAGAGGAAGGUCCCCCACAUUGGAACUGAGACACGGUCCAAACUCCUACGGGAGGCAGCAGUGAGGAAUAUUGGUCAAUGGACGAGAGUCUGAACCAGCCAAGUAGCGUGAAGGAUGACUGCCCUAUGGGUUGUAAACUUCUUUUAAUAUGGGAAUAAAGUAUUCCACGUGUGGAAUUUUGUAUGUACCAUAUGAAUAAGGAUCGGCUAACUCCGUGCCAGCAGCCGCGGUAAUACGGAGGAUCCGAGCGUUAUCCGGAUUUAUUGGGUUUAAAGGGAGCGUAGGUGGAUUGUUAAGUCAGUUGUGAAAGUUUGCGGCUCAACCGUAAAAUUGCAGUUGAAACUGGCAGUCUUGAGUACAGUAGAGGUGGGCGGAAUUCGUGGUGUAGCGGUGAAAUGCUUAGAUAUCACGAAGAACUCCGAUUGCGAAGGCAGCUCACUAGACUGCAACUGA
This 707-nucleotide ribosomal RNA is filed under the name uncultured Bacteroidales bacterium. RNAcentral's name for it is "bacterial SSU rRNA". It matches the Rfam family "Bacterial small subunit ribosomal RNA", at positions 49 to 743 of the family's 1533-position model. Lineage: Bacteria; Pseudomonadati; Bacteroidota; Bacteroidia; Bacteroidales. The record is from RNAcentral.